Molecule: long non-coding RNA, 375 nt
Organism: Rhopalosiphum padi (bird cherry-oat aphid)
Lineage: Eukaryota; Metazoa; Arthropoda; Insecta; Hemiptera; Aphididae
Exons: 3
Source: RefSeq, a predicted model, not a curated record
CGAGACGAGUUUAAUUUAAAACUCGCUGGUCGCGCGACUACGACGCGUAGGCGUGUCUCUCUACUUGUUUACUGGAACUCGUAUUGUGUCUGUGCGUGUGUGUGUGACGAAUGUGUUUUGUGCUUUGUAAUAAUAAUAUAAUAUAGGUCGGACUGGUCAGAGCCCUGCAGUAUUUCCGGUUCUUUAACUUGGCUCCCAUUUCCCAAUCCUGCGUCGCCCUUAGGAGCCGCGAUGCACAGUUUGAAUACCUCUGGCCUAUAGGGCUAUAUAGCUGCAGUACAGCACGUAAAAGAAACAAGGUGUAAGACGUAAGUAUACACGAAUCCCAGAAUACAAAUCCCUAGACUUUAAUAUCACUCACAAUCACAUGAAAAU